Molecule: long non-coding RNA, 267 nt
Filed under: Lathyrus oleraceus (garden pea)
Lineage: Eukaryota; Viridiplantae; Streptophyta; Magnoliopsida; Fabales; Fabaceae
Description: Pisum sativum (pea) long non-coding RNA (PSAT_LNC009767)
Source: RNAcentral
AAGAAUGUCCUCCUCGCCACACACAGUCACAACCUGACCAUUCCAAACAUACUUCAGCUUCUGAUGGAGAGUUGACGAAACCGCUCCAGCCCCAUGUAUCCAGGGACGCCCCAAUAAACAACUAUAUGCUGGUUGAAUAUCCAUCACAUAGAAGACAAUAUCAAAUACCUCCGGGCCAAUCUUCACGGGCAAGGUGACUUCACCAAACACCAAUCGCUUGGACCCAUCGAAAGCACGAACGAUGAGAUCACUCGGAGUGAGGACAAC